AUUGAACGCUGGCGGCAUGCCUUACACAUGCAAGUCGAACGGCAGCACGGGAGCAAUCCUGGUGGCGAGUGGCGAACGGGUGAGUAAUGUAUCGGAACGUGCCCAGUCGUGGGGGAUAACGCAGCGAAAGCUAUGCUAAUACCGCAUACGAUCUAUGGAUGAAAGCGGGGGAUCGCAAGACCUCGCGCGAUUGGAGCGGCCGAUAUCAGAUUAGCUAGUUGGUGGGGUAAAAGCUUACCAAGGCGACGAUCUGUAGCUGGUCUGAGAGGACGCCCAGCCACACUGGAACUGAGACACGGUCCAGACUCCUACGGGAGGCAGCAGUGGGGAAUUUUGGACAAUGGGCGCAAGCCUGAUCCAGCAAUGCCGCGUGCAGGAUGAAGGCCUUCGGGUUGUAAACUGCUUUUGUACGGAGCGAAAAGGCUCUCUCUAAUACAGGGGGCUCAUGACGGUACCGUAAGAAUAAGCACCGGCUAACUACGUGCCAGCCGCCGCCGUAA
Molecule: ribosomal RNA, 500 nt
Filed under: uncultured bacterium
Lineage: Bacteria
Description: partial 16S ribosomal RNA
Rfam family: Bacterial small subunit ribosomal RNA
Source: RNAcentral